Molecule: ribosomal RNA, 465 nt
Filed under: uncultured bacterium
Lineage: Bacteria
Description: partial 16S ribosomal RNA
Rfam family: Bacterial small subunit ribosomal RNA
Source: RNAcentral
GACGAACGCUGGCGGCGUGCUUAACACAUGCAAGUCGAACGGAAAGGCCCUGCUUGCAGGGUACUCGAGUGGCGAACGGGUGAGUAACACGUGGGUGAUCUGCCCUGCACUUCGGGAUAAGCCUGGGAAACUGGGUCUAAUACCGGAUAGGAGCGAUUUUUAGUGUGAUGGUGGGAAGGUAUUUUCGGUGUAGGAGGAGCUCGCGGCCUAUCAGUUUGUUGGUGGGGGAAUGGCUUACCAAGGCGGCGACGGGUAGCCGGCCUGCGAGGGUGGACGGCCACAUUGGGACUGGGAUACGGCCCAGACUCCUACGGGAGGCAGCAGUGGGGAAUAUUGCACAAUGGGCGCAAGCCUGAUGCCGCGACGCCGCGUGGGGGAUGACGGCCUUCGGGUUGUAAACUCCUUUCGCUAGGGACGAAGCUUUUUGUGACGGUACCUAGAUAAGAAGCACCGGCUAACUACGUG